UUCUUCUCUCUUCUCUUUCCACCUCCCCUAAUUGUUUUCCUAAGCCGGCAGACGCCCUGACCUAGUCAUCGCCUCUUCCUUCAGAUUGUCGCAACUCGCAAGCCGCCGUCGCCGCUUCCAGACCGCCACCACCUCCAGACAUCAAUCGCCAUUUUCCCAGUUCGCCACACAGCUUCGUUCGUUCGUCGCAAGCAGCCAUCGCCACCUCCGGCGCCUUCCCCUUCGCAGCACGCAAUGUUAGCUUCUCUAGAUAAAUCAGAAAGUCAUGGAAAUUGCAGCAAAGAGCUGAUGAAAGCUUCAGAAAAGCUUUGUAAAGUCUUAACUGAAGCAGAUAUACGUUUAUUAGUAGACAACAUUGAACAAAAAAGCGGUGCUGAAAUGGCUGAGAAGGAGACAAAGAGCGAUGGCAUGGCUGAGACAAAAGUUUCACCAAGCUCGAAGCAGGAAGCUUAAACAAAAGUUUUCUUAUCUUAUUACCACUUUAUUUGACUGUGACUGUUGAGAAGUUUACACAUGUGAAGCUAUUAGACCAUGUUGCCCUUUCAUGAAGGAUCCGGAGUUGGAUUAUGAGAUCGACAGUGAUGAGGAGUGGGAAGAUGAGGAACCUGGUGAAUGCCUAUCAGAUUGUGAUAAAGAUGAAGUUGAAAGUUUAGACGAAGAAUGUGCUAGAGGUGAUGGUGAAGAAAGUGAAGAUGGCUUUUUUGUCCAGAUAGUUAUCUCUCCGAGGAUGGGGGGGUUCAAGUUGACAAAACUGGAUCUGAUGGCAUGGCUGAGACAAAAGUUUCAAAAGUGACAAAUAUGCUAAUAGUAGAUGUCACCCUCUCCUUGCUCUGUUACAAAUAUUGAUAGAUCAUUUGAUGAAUUAAGCCGGGAAAUUGUAUGUCUUAAGAUUAUACUAAAACAUUUUGGGGUUUUAUUGGCAGCCAACAGACAGAGGCCUGUGAUUAUGAAGCUGGAAGUGAGAUGAUAGUUGACAAGCAGGGGUUUGACUGUUUGAGCGCACCACUGUUCUUGCAAGACUUGAGGAAAGUUUAUAUUAGAACUUCAGCUUAUUUUAUGCCGAAUUUAUUAUACUAUAUAUUCCUUAAUUUUGAGUCUUUAGUGAAUUGUUUUCUUAUAAUAUAUAGCACUUGAAGGACAUAUAAUCCUAUUUGGAAAAUUAAUACGGAGUAGUAUUUUUCUUAUUGUGUUUAUGCAAGCUUCUAAAUUCAUGUUUUGUUGGUUUUUAGUUUUUACAGCUUAUAUAGCUUUUAUACUCCUAUUUUACCUUUACCUUUGUACUGCUAUUAAUAAGAUAAAUUUGGCAAGAUUUUAAUUUCUUGUACAAUGUUUCUUACUUGGCAGGGAAUUAUUGCAUAUCUAGAAGUAAUCAUCAAAUUAGCCUUCUCCCCAAGACAAAGGACUUCUAAAGUGCCGGUCUCAAUAGUUUUGAUAAACAUGAGCGUUAUUAUCUAUCUUUAUAUAGAAUUGUAUAUAUUUCCGUGUUAGUCUGACCUUAUUUAAGAAUCAUUUGUAUCACAUUACAUCCUUGUAAUUCUAUAUUAUACUAUGAAAAA
Molecule: RNA transcript, 1556 nt
Organism: Ipomoea nil (Japanese morning glory)
Lineage: Eukaryota; Viridiplantae; Streptophyta; Magnoliopsida; Solanales; Convolvulaceae
Gene name: chromatin assembly factor 1 subunit FAS1-like
Exons: 6
Source: RefSeq, a predicted model, not a curated record